GUGCGGCGCCGGGCCCCUCUGGCGAGAGUGACUUAUACUCUCGUGAUGUCGGAGCUGCUCC
Regulatory RNA element from Devosia epidermidihirudinis, 61 nucleotides. It matches the Rfam family "terC RNA". The record is from Rfam. NCBI's taxonomy places the organism in Bacteria, Pseudomonadati, Pseudomonadota, Alphaproteobacteria, Hyphomicrobiales, Devosiaceae.